This 482-nucleotide ribosomal RNA is filed under the name uncultured bacterium. RNAcentral's name for it is "bacterial SSU rRNA". It matches the Rfam family "Bacterial small subunit ribosomal RNA", at positions 30 to 507 of the family's 1533-position model. The record is from RNAcentral.
AUUGAACGCUGGCGGCAUGCCUUACACAUGCAAGUCGAACGGCAGCACGGGAGCAAUCCUGGUGGCGAGUGGCGAACGGGUGAGUAAUAUAUCGGAACGUGCCCGGUCGUGGGGGAUAACGUAGCGAAAGCUACGCUAAUACCGCAUACGAUCUACGGAUGAAANCGGGGGAUCGCAAGACCUCGCGCGAUUGGAGCGGCCGAUAUCAGAUUAGGUAGUUGGUGAGGUAAAGGCUCACCAAGCCGACGAUCUGUAGCUGGUCUGAGAGGACGACCAGCCACACUGGGACUGAGACACGGCCCAGACUCCUACGGGAGGCAGCAGUGGGGAAUUUUGGACAAUGGGCGCAAGCCUGAUCCAGCAAUGCCGCGUGCAGGAUGAAGGCCUUCGGGUUGUAACUGCUUUGUACGGAACGAAACGGUGAGCUCUAAUACAGUUUGCUAAUGACGGUACCGUAAGAAUAAGCACCGGCUAACUACGUG